Long non-coding RNA from Ostrea edulis (European flat oyster), 1211 nucleotides. RefSeq lists it as uncharacterized. The transcript has 3 exons. The record is from RefSeq and is a predicted model, not a curated record. Lineage: Eukaryota; Metazoa; Mollusca; Bivalvia; Ostreida; Ostreidae.
UAAUAGUUUGGGGUGUAUGCGGUACAUAUUUGUUUAUGAGCGUUUGAUAAGCUACUAUUAAUCUACGAAAUACAACGAAAGAUUUCGUCAAGAACAGAAGAAGACGAUGUUGUCGUGUAACUCACACAAGGCCCAGCUGUCUAGUAACCGGAGGGGGAAAGGAAAAGAACGUAUUAGACUCAGUGACACCUGUCAAACAGAUUGAUGUCAGAAGUCUGAAUGCAAACAAGCUCCCAUAUGACUACAAUGUAUAAGGGAAAUUAGAUAUAUGUACAAUAAAUAUGGUAUAUGGGAACUGGAUAAUUUCCCAUGCCUUUCACUUGAGGUCUUCAGUUUCAUCAUUAAUCAUGUGAAUGUCUGUAUGCCAAACUCUCAUGAUGUCAUGUCAUUACUGGACAUUCCUUAACACUGGUUUAUUUCAGCCACACUACCUAUAACAUUGCCAAAAUAUUAGACUGAAAAUUUUCAAAUACACAAUAUUUGAAGCAGCAAAAGAAACGAAUUAGAUAUGUAUAACACACAAAAAAGAAGAAAUUAAUUCUCACCUGGCCGAAAUAAACUUUUUACUCCUUUUUAGCUCCCUUUCACUGCAUACCAGCCGAUAACUAGCAGUCAUUAUAUGCAGAUCAGUCAUUGCUAUCAACCUGUGUAUAUAUGCAAUGUGAAGAUAACGAACAGUGAUCAAUCUCAUAACUCCUACAAGCAAUACAAAAUAGAUGGUUGGGCAAACACGGACCCUGGACACACCAGAGGUGGGAUCAGGUGCCUAGGAGGAGUAAGCAUCCCCUGUUGACCGGUCACACCCGCCGUGAGCCCUAUAUCCUGAUCAGGUAAACAGAGUUAUCCGCAGUCAAAAUCAGUGUGCCAAGAACAGCUUAACAAUCGGUAUGAAACACGUCAGACAGCAUUUGACCCAAUGCGAGGUUGUAUUGACGAACUAGAUCGUUAUAACGACCAUAGAAUUUGCGAAAUGCUGACUUCAAUCGAGACUGUUGAAAUCCCUGUACCAUCAACUUGUUUGUCAGUAGCUUACCUCGAUUUAAAAACUGACUAUACCCAGAACAAGCUCUUGCAUAUGUAAUCAGCUGAGAUAUAUAAACACCAUAUGCAAGUGAUAAUGGAAUAUUGCUACACAAAUAUGGGAAGUUGACGAUGGAGAAGCUGAAAUCAUCCCGUUUGUCAUACAAUUGAGUUGUCAGUUUGCCGUUAAU